UUGAGCGCUCUGUAUCCAUAGGUGACGGCAGCACAGAUAUCAACAAACCAUCCUGAGAUUACAUGUUUCAAAGAGCGUUGGCUUCAGUCGGUGCCGUAUCACCCAUUUCACUGUCGACUACAUCCAAGAAGCUUUCAAAUGUCCUACUUGAAAGAGGCUGGUUGGAACCAGUGUAUUUGACGGUUGCAUCAUUUGAAAACUAGAAAGGCUCGGCUGCUUAAAACACAUCCACUGUCAGCGCUUUUUAAACACUUACUUCUGUUGCCUGUGGCGAGAAAUGAUAAUGCAAAGUUUACCACAGCGUUCUCAUUUGUGGUUAUCAGAUUGAUGCAGCUCCAUUAACCGUAAAGAGGACGCAGGAUGAUUUUCUGCAGUAAUGGCGGAUCUCUCCGUUCCAAUGGACAGCACAUGCAUGAACUAUAACUACCGGAAGACGAAAGAAGUCAGAAAGGGCUGUUUGGAAAAGGGAGGGAGGAGAUCGGAUCCUGGAUCCUUCGCGGCUUCGACUGUAAAGCGGGUCAAAUUCACAGCACCUCCGCCUCUGUAUCGGACAUAACAUCCUGAGACGGCGGAGAUUGGUGGCCAGGAUGCUGAAUUUUUCAUGAGGCAGGAAAGGUUAGAUAAGAUCCUCCCACGGAUUGGAGAUAGUGCACUUACAGAUCUGUCUUUGGAGCCCCAAAUAAAAAAGAAAAUACAUUUUGGAUGGUUCAGAUUUUGAAUGUGACCUCUUUACUGAAAUCACAUUCAGAGAUGGAAGUGUCAAAACAGGUACAUGUGAGACAAAUGUGUUCCACCUUCCGUGGUGGUUGCCUUGUAUUGCUUAGGCACACUCAUGACUCAUAACGACUUUAGUGAAAAUUAACAGUUUGUCUUCAUUCAAGUUGCGGAAAUGUCAUUCCUUCCAUC
Long non-coding RNA from Sebastes umbrosus (honeycomb rockfish), 906 nucleotides. RefSeq lists it as uncharacterized. The record is from RefSeq and is a predicted model, not a curated record. Lineage: Eukaryota; Metazoa; Chordata; Actinopteri; Perciformes; Sebastidae. The transcript is spliced from 4 exons.